Long non-coding RNA from Cervus elaphus (red deer), 1425 nucleotides. RefSeq lists it as uncharacterized. The record is from RefSeq and is a predicted model, not a curated record. The transcript has 3 exons. NCBI's taxonomy places the organism in Eukaryota, Metazoa, Chordata, Mammalia, Artiodactyla, Cervidae.
GAGCCAGCAGGUGGCAGGCAGAGCACCCCAGCGCCCCUGGCCUUCGCUAGGCUCUUCCCUGGAGAAGAGCCAGGAUAGGAGCCUUUGGACCUUCCCAGUGACCUGCCUCCCAGCAACAAGCCUAACUCUGUGUGGUGGGUGGGUUGCCCAAUUCUUCCCCCCCACCCCCACGUUUUACAGCCGUUUCUUAAAUGAGUGGGCCGUUUAAGAUCACCAGCGGCGACCUUGAGCUGGGCUUUGAGGCCGCACCGGAGAAUGAGCCCGGGCCCUCCUCCCCCUCCAGGAACUAGCCGGAAGGAUUUACAUACCGUGGCCUGGCAGGGCUCCAGUUUCCUUAAUUGUAGGGCUCCACUUCCUGUCCCUUUUUAGCCAAAUCUCCCACACCCUUCCAUGAAAUAGGAGGUCCCCAGAACAGGCUCUUACUCACCACCCUUUACCCACUCUACUGUGUAUAUGGUCUAGGGAAAAAUAAAUUAAUAAAUAAACCAGAGGUUUGAGGAUCCCUGCGGCAAAAAUGCUAGGACCCCAGGACCACUUUCUUGAGGGGUGGGGCCCCGGUGACCAGCUGGGUCCAGGGCUUGGGCUGGUGGCCCUCCCCCUCCCCCCAACUCUAGAUUCGUGACUUACUGAAUCCCAGUUUUUCUGCGACUUGCUCUCUCUCUCUCUGAGAUAGAGAUCCACCCAGCACCUCCUUCAGGGCAGGCAAGGGGCUUGCUCUUCUGAAGGGCAGGGGAGACACUCUCUCGCUUUCCCAGGAGACUUGAGGGGAGAAGGGAGGGCACAGAACAUCACUGGUGGGAACGGGGAGGGCGUGGCAGCUGCGAUGGUGACUGGUGACCUCUCCCAGCCACUGCCCACGCCACCCUGCAGGAGACCAGUGUUGUUUGGGGCUCUUAGCAGCCCUGGGGGUUGGGGACGGGAGAUGUACCUAGUUUAGGUCCCCAGAUCUUUAGGGACUGCUGGAGUCCCUCAGGCGGGCUCCGUGGGAUGGGGACAAGAGUGGGCAGGGACAUCCAGGCAGGGAAUUUCAUCCAGUUCUCUGCCAGGGGGUGGCCGAGGUUUCCGUAGUCGUCUGCGCUCCCGGAGUGUGGUUAACCCGUGCGCGGGACAGAACUUGCAAGAAGACUCAGGGUCAGGCCCCAGCUGAUUCCGCAUGCAAGUGACAUCAUAUGAUCUUUGUCUUUCUUUCACACUUCACAACCAAGUAGUGUGUGGCUCAAGAAAGCCAGGCUGUGAGAGAGAUACAGCCUCCCGAGGUGGCCGGACGUCACAGGCCCAGGGCACCUACCUGGAUGAGCACUGUGUGGGGACUUGGAAGUCUUGCUUGCUGAAGUCACUCCCAUGUCACGCCUGGCUUCUUGCCUCAAGUGCAGGCUUCUACAGGGUGUUCAGCCAAGGACAACAGGGUGGGGUGGGAGGGCUAAC